This 164-nucleotide ribosomal RNA is filed under the name Chytroglossa aurata. RNAcentral describes it as "5.8S ribosomal RNA". It matches the Rfam family "5.8S ribosomal RNA". Rfam says of the family: 5.8S ribosomal RNA (5.8S rRNA) is a component of the large subunit of the eukaryotic ribosome. It is transcribed by RNA polymerase I as part of the 45S precursor that also contains 18S and 28S rRNA. Lineage: Eukaryota; Viridiplantae; Streptophyta; Magnoliopsida; Asparagales; Orchidaceae. RNAcentral also lists the same sequence under 1 other name. The record is from RNAcentral.
AACACGACUCUCGGCAAUGGAUAUCUCGGCUCUUGCAUCGAUGAAGAGCGCAGCGAAAUGCGAUACGUGGUGCGAAUUGCAGAAUCCCGUGAACCAUCGAGUCUUUGAACGCAAGUUGCGCCCGAGGCCAGCCGGCCAAGGGCACGUUCGCCUGGGCGUCAAGC